CCUACGGGAGGCAGCAGUGAGGAAUAUUGGUCAAUGGACGAGAGUCUGAACCAGCCACGUCGCGUGAAGGAUGACUGCUCUAUGGGUUGUAAACUUCUUUUAUAAAGGAAUAAAACGAGGUACGUGUGCCUUUUUGCAUGUCCUUUAUGAAUAAGGAUCGGCUAACUCCGUGCCAGCAGCCGCGGUAAUACGGAGGAUCCGAGCGUUAUCCGGAUUUAUUGGGUUUAAAGGGAGCGUAGAUGGGUUGUUAAGUCAGUUGUGAAAGUUUGCGGCUUAACCGUAAAAUUGCUAUUGAUACUGGCAGUCUUGAGUACAGUUGAGGUAGGCGGAAUUCGUGGUGUAGCGGUGAAAUGCUUAGAUAUCACGAAGAACCCCGAUCGCGAAGGCAGCUUACUAAACUGUGACUGACAUUGAUGCUCGAAAGUGUGGGUAGCAAACAGGAUUAGAUACCCGUGUAGUC
RNAcentral lists this ribosomal RNA (460 nucleotides) under uncultured bacterium. RNAcentral's name for it is "partial 16S ribosomal RNA". It matches the Rfam family "Bacterial small subunit ribosomal RNA", at positions 338 to 795 of the family's 1533-position model. The record is from RNAcentral.